UACGAGGGGGGCAAGCGUUGUUCGGAAUUAUUGGGCGUAAAGGGUGCGUAGGCGGUGCGGUAAGUCUGUUGUGAAAUCUCCGGGCUCAACUCGGAGUCUGCAUCAGAAACUGCCGUGCUGGAGUGUGGGAGAGGUGAGUGGAAUUCCCGGUGUAGCGGUGAAAUGCGUAGAUAUCAGGAGGAACACCUGUGGCGAAAGCGGCUCACUGGACCACAACUGACGCUGAUGCGCGAAAGCUAGGGGAGCAAACAGG
This 253-nucleotide ribosomal RNA is filed under the name uncultured bacterium. RNAcentral describes it as "partial 16S ribosomal RNA". It matches the Rfam family "Bacterial small subunit ribosomal RNA", at positions 524 to 776 of the family's 1533-position model. The record is from RNAcentral.